RNAcentral lists this ribosomal RNA (793 nucleotides) under uncultured Prochlorococcus sp. RNAcentral describes it as "bacterial SSU rRNA". It matches the Rfam family "Bacterial small subunit ribosomal RNA", at positions 61 to 900 of the family's 1533-position model. The record is from RNAcentral. Lineage: Bacteria; Bacillati; Cyanobacteriota; Cyanophyceae; Synechococcales; Prochlorococcaceae.
GUCGAACGAACCUUCGGGUUAGUGGCGGACGGGUGAGUAACGCGUGGGAAUCUGCCCUCAGGAGGGGGAUAACGGUUGGAAACGACCGCUAAUACCCCAUAUGCCGAGAGGUGAAAUGAAUUUCGCCUGAGGAUGAGCCCGCGUCUGAUUAGCUUGUUGGUGUGGUAAAGGCUCACCAAGGCUUCGAUCAGUAGCUGGUCUGAGAGGAUGAUCAGCCACACUGGGACUGAGACACGGCCCAGACUCCUACGGGAGGCAGCAGUGGGGAAUUUUCCGCAAUGGGCGCAAGCCUGACGGAGCAACGCCGCGUGAGGGACGAAGGCCUCUGGGCUGUAAACCUCUUUUCUCAAGGAAGAAGAUAUGACGGUACUUGAGGAAUAAGCCACGGCUAAUUCCGUGCCAGCAGCCGCGGUAAUACGGGAGUGGCAAGCGUUAUCCGGAAUUAUUGGGCGUAAAGCGUCCGCAGGCGGCCUUUCAAGUCUGCUGUUAAAACGUGGAGCUUAACUCCAUCAUGGCAGUGGAAACUGAUAGGCUUGAGUAUGGUAGGGGCAGAGGGAAUUCCCGGUGUAGCGGUGAAAUGCGUAGAUAUCGGGAAGAACACCAGUGGCGAAGGCGCUCUGCUGGGCCAUAACUGACGCUCAUGGACGAAAGCCAGGGGAGCGAAAGGGAUUAGAUACCCCUGUAGUCCUGGCCGUAAACGAUGAACACUAGGUGUCGGGGGAAUCGACCCCUUCGGUGUCGUAGCUAACGCGUUAAGUGUUCCGCCUGGGGAGUGCGCACGCAAGUGUGAAAC